GAUGAACGCUGGCGGCGUGCCUAACACAUGCAAGUCGAACGGAAGGACGAGACUUUUGCUUUGCUGACGUGUGGCGCACGGGUGAGUAACACAUGUGUAUAACCCCCUUAAAUGUGGGAUAACACUUGGAAACAGGGGCGAUAACACGGUAGAAUAUCCUGAGCCACAGGGUGGAAUGGAGAGAUACGGCCUUGGUGUAUGUUAUAGCUGGAUCCGCGCUGGAUUGGGUAGUUGUGACGGUAACGGGCUACGAAGGCGACGAUGCGUAGGCGAGCUGAGAGGAGGAUCGGCCACACUGGAGCUGAGACACGGACCAGAGUACUACGGGAGGCAGCAGUAGGGAAUGUUCGGCAGUGGGCGGAAGCCUGACCCAGUAAGGCCACGUGUGUGACGGAGGCCUUCGGAUCGUAAAGCUCUGUUAUGGGGGAAGAACCGCUUUGUCCGGAGACGAACAGUGCUUGACGGUACCGGAUAAAGAAGCACCGGCUAACUACGUG
This 497-nucleotide ribosomal RNA is filed under the name uncultured bacterium. RNAcentral describes it as "partial 16S ribosomal RNA". It matches the Rfam family "Bacterial small subunit ribosomal RNA", at positions 28 to 507 of the family's 1533-position model. The record is from RNAcentral.